This 497-nucleotide ribosomal RNA is filed under the name uncultured bacterium. RNAcentral describes it as "partial 16S ribosomal RNA". It matches the Rfam family "Bacterial small subunit ribosomal RNA", at positions 28 to 507 of the family's 1533-position model. The record is from RNAcentral.
GACGAACGCUGGCGGCGUGCCUAAUACAUGCAAGUUGAGCGAUGAAGAUUGGUGCUUGCACCAAUUUGAAGAGCAGCGAACGGGUGAGUAACGCGUGGGGAAUCUGCCUUUGAGCGGGGGACAACAUUUGGAAACGAAUGCUAAUACCGCAUAACAACUUUAAACAUAAGUUUUAAGUUUGAAAGAUGCAAUUGCAUCACUCAAAGAUGAUCCCGCGUUGUAUUAGCUAGUUGGUGAGGUAAAGGCUCACCAAGGCGAUGAUACAUAGCCGACCUGAGAGGGUGAUCGGCCACAUUGGGACUGAGACACGGCCCAAACUCCUACGGGAGGCAGCAGUAGGGAAUCUUCGGCAAUGGACGAAAGUCUGACCGAGCAACGCCGCGUGAGUGAAGAAGGUUUUCGGAUCGUAAAACUCUGUUGGUAGAGAAGAACGUUGGUGAGAGUGGAAAGCUCAUCAAGUGACGGUAACUACCCAGAAAGGGACGGCUAGCUACGUG